RNAcentral lists this long non-coding RNA (967 nucleotides) under Homo sapiens (human). RNAcentral's name for it is "non-protein coding HHIP-AS1:6". The record is from RNAcentral. Lineage: Eukaryota; Metazoa; Chordata; Mammalia; Primates; Hominidae.
AGAAACGUCUGUUUUCAGAGAUAGGCAAGUUUGCACAGCAUCCCGACCGCGGACUCUGGGGGAGGAAAUGCUACUUGCUUACCCCAGAGGAACACACAACGGAAUCACGUUAGCGCUAUAGAAAAGUUAUGGAAAGAACUCCCCCAAAGAAGUUUUGACCUUCUUACAACCACCGGCUUUGCCAGAGCCACAGGGAACCCCACCCAGCCAAUAUGCCAAGUACGCAUCCGUGAAGCCGGUGAGUGCCUACCUUAUUCUCCAGGCGCCCUAGCCCCGGGCUGUCACUCCGCAGGCAGCAGGACAGCCGAGGGUAGAAGCCACCGCACAGCAUCUCUCCCCCACUCAGCAGCUCCAGCUGGGACAUCAUCCUCCUGUCUCUCCUUUUCAGGCGCUUCGGGGGGUUCCCAUUCAGGCACCUUCUCCUCCUUGCUCCGCUCCCUUCGUUUCUUUCCCCAAACUUAGCAUCUCCUUCAAAGAAGCCCAGAGCCACGGCCAGCAGCAGCAGCUUAAAGGAGAGCAUCUUCAGCAUCGUCUGCCCAGAGCAGCAGGGGCUGGGCGCGGGAGGAUGGGGGGGAACGCCACUGCCCAGCAGGGACAGAGGGAGGUGGCGGGGACAAAAAUAUGUACAGCGAUGCAACUUUGCAAAAAAUAAAAGACGCGGCGAUGGGUCCAAUGCCUUAGGGGAGCCCGAGGAGCGAGAUAAAGUUGUGCGGAUGACACCGUUUGCAGUUGUGCCAGUGUCAGUUGGGUUGGGGGCUUUCUGCUGCGGCUGGGAAGUGGGAGGAGGAGAAGGAGUUGGAAGAGGAGGAAGAAAAGGAGAGGACAGCCACAGAUGUUCACUUGUCCGUGUAACGGGAGUUGUUUAGGUGGGACAGUAGCAGGAACAGAAACGGCGACGGCGGCGGCGGGGCAGGCGGAGGCAGGGCCAGCGCUGGGCUCUAGAUGAUGCUGAGGUCUCCUCUGCCGG